RNAcentral lists this ribosomal RNA (496 nucleotides) under uncultured bacterium. Its description in RNAcentral is "partial 16S ribosomal RNA". It matches the Rfam family "Bacterial small subunit ribosomal RNA", at positions 29 to 507 of the family's 1533-position model. The record is from RNAcentral.
AUGAACGCUGGCGGCGUGCCUAAUACAUGCAAGUCGCGCGAACAGACGAGGAGCUUGCUCCUCUGGCGUUAGCGGCGGACGGGUGAGUAACACGUGGAUAACCUACCUAUAAGACUGGGAUAACUUCGGGAAACCGGAGCUAAUACCGGAUAAUAUAUUGAACCGCAUGGUUCAAUAGUGAAAGACGGUUUUGCUGUCACUUAUAGAUGGAUCCGCGCCGCAUUAGCUAGUUGGUAAGGUAACGGCUUACCAAGGCAACGAUGCGUAGCCGACCUGAGAGGGUGAUCGGCCACACUGGAACUGAGACACGGUCCAGACUCCUACGGGAGGCAGCAGUAGGGAAUCUUCCGCAAUGGGCGAAAGCCUGACGGAGCAACGCCGCGUGAGUGAUGAAGGUCUUCGGAUCGUAAAACUCUGUUAUUAGGGAAGAACAAAUGUGUAAGUAACUAUGCACGUCUUGACGGUACCUAAUCAGAAAGCCACGGCUAACUACGUG